GAUGAACGCUGACAGAAUGCUUAACACAUGCAAGUCGAUGGGGAAGUGGUGCUUGCACCAUGGUAACCAUGGCGGACGGGUGAGUAACGCGUAAGGAACUUACCUGCGGGACCGGGAUAACAGCAGGAAACUGCUGACAAGACCGGAUAAGGUCAUUAAGCUGCAUAGCUUAGUGAUGAAAGGAGACGCCUGCGGAGAGCCUUGCGUCCUAUUAGCUAGUUGGAGGGGUAACGGCCCACCAAGGCGAAGAUAGGUAGCCGGCCUGAGAGGGUGGACGGCCACAAGGGGACUGAGAUACGGCCCUUACUCCUACGGGAGGCAGCAGUGGGGAAUAUUGGACAAUGGGGCAACCCUGAUCCAGCAAUUCUGUGUGCACGAAGACGGUUUUCGGAUUGUAAAGUGCUUUCAGCAGGGAAGAAGGAGGUGACGGUACCUGCAGAAGAAGCGACGGCUAAAUACGUG
RNAcentral lists this ribosomal RNA (462 nucleotides) under uncultured bacterium. RNAcentral describes it as "partial 16S ribosomal RNA". It matches the Rfam family "Bacterial small subunit ribosomal RNA", at positions 28 to 507 of the family's 1533-position model. The record is from RNAcentral.